RNAcentral lists this ribosomal RNA (443 nucleotides) under uncultured bacterium. RNAcentral describes it as "partial 16S ribosomal RNA". It matches the Rfam family "Bacterial small subunit ribosomal RNA", at positions 338 to 795 of the family's 1533-position model. The record is from RNAcentral.
CCUACGGGUGGCAGCAGUAGGGAAUAUUGGGCAAUGGGCGCAAGCCUGACCCAGCAACGCCGCGUGAAGGAAGAAGGCUUUCGGGUUGUAAACUUCUUUUCUCAGGGACGAAGCUAGUGACGGUACCUGAGGAAUAAGCCACGGCUAACUACGUGCCAGCAGCCGCGGUAAUACGGAGGUGGCAAGCGUUAUCAGGAUUUACGGGGUGUAAAGGGCGUGUAGGCGGGAAAGGAAGUCAGAUGUGAAAACCAUGUGCUCAACCUGUGGACUGCAUUUGAAACUGUUUUUCUUGAGUACUGGAGAGGCAGACGGAAUUCCUAGUGUAGCGGUGAAAUGCGUAGAUAUUAGGAGGAACACCAGUGGCGAAGGCGGUCUGCUGGACAGCAACUGACGCUGAGGCGCGAAAGCGUGGGGAGCAAACAGGAUUAGAUACCCUUGUAGUC